AGAUUUUUAAGGGGAAAAAAAAAUUCAUUUUAUUACUUUCUUUUGUGGAACUAAAAGUUUCCAUUCAGGAAAUGUUUCCAGAGAAAAAAUACAUAAUGAUUUGAAUGUCUGGACAAUUUAGUCUUCAACCUCCCAGCUGCACGUAAAUGACCUUAGGUGUGAUCAGUUUGUCCCUGAAGUAGGUAAAGUGCUCCAUGCUGUUUGUCCCCACCGAGUGUUUGCUCAGCAGACCCUUUCUUGCUUGUGGCAUAUUCCCACAGCGCUGACCCGGUCUGUGGCCGCAGGUGCCACUGAGGAUGGUGACGAGCGUCCACAUCAGGUGCCCGGGCUUCCGCCGUCGGGCCGAGGGGUUUGGUUCGCUGGUUCUUCAUCCUCACUGUUGGUCUCUGUUUUCAGGUUUGCCUUGGCUCCUAAUUAUGCUUCUUGACCUCUCAUCAACCCAGGAGGUCACAGGGCCUUUGUCAUUGGCUGUGGGGAGCCCCAGUGUCCUCCCCAUCUCUGUGGCCAUCGGUGCCCUCUGUCACCUUGGAUGCCCUUUGUCACUGUGCAACCGAUGUGACCCAGGUUCCCUUGGGUGGUGCUGCACCAAAGAGGACCAGCUCUUCCUCUUCAAAAGAGCCCAGAGAGCUUCUGAGUGCCUGGAGGGCAUGGUCAAGAAUCUGUUUUCGAAGACUGAAUUUCCAGCUCUGGAAGCUAGUUAACUUCUCACGGCUCAGUUUUCAUGCCUAGAAAAGAGACAGGCCCCUUCCUCCCCCUGCCCCCUGCCACAGUGCUCAGGCGGCAUCUGAGGGGCAAGUGGGGGUACAGCACACUGGCACCGGGCUUGGUGCUUUCUGUUCGUCAUUUCGUCCCCUCAGACACUUGUGUGAGGAGGCUUGUCAGCCCUGUUUCACAGGCAAUGAAACUGCUCCAGAAAGGCUAAAGAGCUGCCAUGGGCAGCAGCCAGGAAGUGUCCGAGCUGGACCCAUGAGCCCUCAACGUCGAGGUCACAGGAUGUUUUGGCCAUUGUGAUCUGCUCUUCCUGCUUCCAGAGAGAACAGGAACAAAAGAAAAUGUUCCAGACCCUUGGCAGGUUAGAUGGGGCGGUCCUGAGUGCAAACCCAAUUAGUAGACCAGAGGUGCCUGCCAGUGCCAGAGGGAGGGGCGCAUGCCUCACGGAGGCCCAGGGGUCCCCAGGGCCCAGACCUCUGCUCCGAGCGGAUAGGCCCGAGUGGCCCUGCCACAGGGGGUCAUGCAGAUUCUAUCGGGUGACCCCCGUAGGUCCCGAUGGGGCUGUCUGUGUGGACAGGGCUUCUUUACCUCCAUCCAUAGCUUUUCUACACAAUGGGAAUUGACUCUGGAGUCCUCUGAUGCUGGUUUCUUGGUGGUGUCCAGCCCUGGUUGGGGUCACAGCACACUCUGCCCAUCAUACCACUCAGAGCAGCCUCGGCCCCAGCCCGCGAGUGACUGAGCCUCAUCUGGGCAUCCCAGAGGGCUGUCUUGUUUUGCCUUUUUUAUCAUUUGGCACUUUGGCUUAUCAUCUAGUCUGUGAUCUGAUACUUCCUGUUCCCCCACCAGCAGGUCAUAGAAGUUGUCCAAUUUUAAGAGCAUGUCGCAUCUAGAGAAAUAAACACAUCUUCCUGUUGGCGUCAA
Molecule: long non-coding RNA, 1632 nt
Organism: Galeopterus variegatus (Sunda flying lemur)
Lineage: Eukaryota; Metazoa; Chordata; Mammalia; Dermoptera; Cynocephalidae
Exons: 2
Source: RefSeq, a predicted model, not a curated record